Molecule: non-coding RNA, 73 nt
Organism: Porphyromonas crevioricanis
Lineage: Bacteria; Pseudomonadati; Bacteroidota; Bacteroidia; Bacteroidales; Porphyromonadaceae
Source: Rfam
GCGGAAAUAGCUCAGUUGGUAGAGCACAACCUUGCCAAGGUUGGGGUCGCGGGUUCGAAUCCCGUUUUCCGCU